GUGGGUAGCAAACAGGAUUAGAUACCCUGGUAGUCCACGCCGUAAACGAUGGGUACUAGGUGUAGGAGGUAUCGACCCCUUCAGUGCCGCCGUUAACACAAUAAGUACCCCGCCUGGGGUGUACGGUCGCAAGACUAAAACUCAAAGGAAUUGACGGGGGCCCGCACAAGCAGCGGAGCAUGUGGUUUAAUUCGAAGCAACGCGAAGAACCUUACCUAGACUUGACAUCUCCUGAAUUACCCUUAAUCGGGGAGGCCCUUCGGGGCAGGAAGACAGGUGGUGCAUGGUUGUCGUCAGCUCGUGUCGUGAGAUGUUGGGUUAAGUCCCGCAACGAGCGCAACCCUUAUUUUUAGUUGCUACCAUUUGGUUGAGCACUCUAAAGAGACUGCCCGGGUUAACCGGGAGGAAGGUGGGGAUGACGUCAAAUCAUCAUGCCCCUUAUGUCUAGGGCUACACACGUGCUACAAUGGUGAGAACAAAGAGACGCAAGACCGCGAGGUGGAGCCAAUCUCACAAAACUCAUCCCAGUUCGGAUUGCAGGCUGAAACUCGCCUGCAUGAAGCCGGAGUUGCUAGUAAUCGCGAAUCAGCAUGUCGCGGUGAAUACGUUCCCGGGCCUUGUACACACCGCCCGUCACACCAUGAGAGUUGGCAAUACCCGAAGUCCGUGGGAUAACCGCAAGGAGUCAGCGGCCGAAGGUAGGGUCAGCGAUUGGGGUGAAGUCGUAACAAGGUAGCCGUAGGAGAACCUGCGGCUGGAUCACCUCCUU
Molecule: ribosomal RNA, 769 nt
Filed under: uncultured bacterium
Lineage: Bacteria
Description: bacterial SSU rRNA
Rfam family: Bacterial small subunit ribosomal RNA
Source: RNAcentral